ACCAGUCAGCCCGCUGCACGCUCGCUAAUGAGCAUAUCGUGCGAGCGUUAUCGUGCGAUGGAAACAGCUCGAUGAAUAAUAUCCACAAACGAGAAGUUACGAGAUCGUGCGAGAAUACUGGAAGGGAUGACGUAGACUCUAUUUUCUCGCGCAUGCUCAGUUUUUGAGCAGCCAUGUUUGGGUGCUGAGAUGUACACAGGCCCUCAUAGAAGUUGUGACCCCGAGCCCUCCUCUUCCAAUUGACCCCCCCCCCCCUGAUCUUGACCUCAAGGAUGCAUCCUAGAAACAAGGUGCGGAGCUGUACACAGUCCUUCCUACAACUUGUAGAAGAUCCCGCACAGGCUUCGCAACCAGUCAUGUGACCCCUAGCCCUCUUCCAACUGAUCACCCCCUUGAUCUUGACCUCAAGAUGCCACCUGGAAACAAAGUGCGGAGCUGUACACAGUCCUUCCUACAACUUGUAGAAGAUCUCCCAUAGGCUUCACAACCAGUCAUGUGACCCCUAGCCCUCUUCCAACUGAUUGCCCCCUUGAUCUUGACCUCAAGAUGCAACCUGGAAACAAAAUUAAGCAUUGUGAUUUUAUCACCAUGAGGGAUGAAGUAGAAAAUUCAGCCUGUACAUCACAUCAAUCGUUCUUGCUGCUGGGGUGAAGGAUAAGUUGGCUCCUUGGCCCCAUUUAUGUACUAUGAAAUCUAAUGCCCUUGUAGCUAUCAUUACGGAACGUAAUACCGAUAUCUAAAUGACAGACUGUAUUUGUAGUGGUUGCAGAAAAAAAUAUGUUAGAAAAUUGAAAAACCCAAAAGACACGUAAAAAAGAAAUAUUUAUUUUAUUUCUAUUCCAUUAUGACUGUUGUGUUGAUAAAUUAUUAAGAGAUUGUGAAUGUGAAUUAGAAUAAUUCAAUGCUGCAUUUUCUGAAGAAUGCACUUCAAUUCCACCUACUAUACCUUUAUGCAUGAAACAUAGAUUUGAAUUGGCACAUUUUGAGCAAUCUAGAAGUUAUCGUUCCUGUUCUGUUUGUGAAGCAUUACUGACUUCUGAUGACAAAACAUAUUUCUGUAAAGAUAUUCCUGAAAGUGAAUUGAAAAGAUUGGGUGAUAUAAAUGAAGACUUUUCAGGAACACAAGGUCACCAUAUAUGUAGACCAUGCUACAUGUAUUGUAUAAAGAAAAGUAGUGCUAAUAAAAUGUCACUUAGAAGUAUGGAAAAUUCGCAUCAGAGCUGUGUGCUUGCAUCAGAUUCGGACGAAGACUUUUUACUCAAAAUUCUAAAUGUUUAUUUGUAUAUAUGUAGACUGUGUCUUGAGGAUGGUUAUUUUUAUUCAUAACUGUUUAUGAAUAUUUUUCUGAUCUUGUCUCAAAAAGAUGUUGUGAUGCGCUACAGAAUGACCGUGUAAAUGAAAGUCCAUUAUUUGUAAAGGAUAAGAUUAUAUACCAGUUCGGUGAGCUUUUGAUUGUACAUAGAGAUGCUGGUAGGAGGGGAAUAUCUUUUUACAGUGCAGAGAUGUAUCAUGAUUAUGUUAUACGUUCAUGGCAUAUUUCAGUUUCUAAAUUGAGAUCAUUACAAAUUGACAAGAAUAGUGCCCAAGAUGUGCCCAAUAGACCAUCCUUUUCCUCACAGUUUAGUUCACCUUCAGAGGUGAACAUGCAGUUCCGAAAUGUUGUCAAUAACGGAAAUGAAUUUCUCUGUAAACAGGCGAAACACUUUAGUUGGAAUAUUUAACUAAUCCUUUAUCUGUCACUGAUUUUAACUUUGACAAUGUAUGUUGCUUCUACCGGUAGUGAUCAUGUUCACCUUGCAGCCUGUGUUCUUUCAGCAUUUCUUUCUUUUGCUAAAUAUAGAAAACCACUUACCAGUAUGUAUUCAUCACAUGUAUGAAUGCAAACAUGUGUUAUGCACAAUACUCUUUAUCUGAUUUAAUGCUCCAUUUUGUUUGUAUUACAUAUUAUAUUCUUUUUUGUUAUAAUAGUUUAUGUUGCACACUUACCGUAUUCCUUGUACAGUCUUCUAAUAUAUAUAUUAUGGCAGAAUGUAGCAUGUACACAUGAGCAACUUAAGUUAUUUGUGUUAUAACAUUAUUAAUUUAACUUAGGAUUUUUGUAUUUUCCGUGCUUUAGUGCCUUAAACUAGCCAGUACUGUGUGUGUGUCCCAGCUGGACUAGCUUAUGAAUAAUAAUAAUAUCUGCCAAAACAUGUAUUUUUUUAACCUUGCCAAGUUGUCUCUUGUAUUCAAAGAGAAAUAAAAAAAUAAAAACAAUUGUUCAAAAGAAA
Long non-coding RNA from Strongylocentrotus purpuratus (purple sea urchin), 2270 nucleotides. RefSeq lists it as uncharacterized. Lineage: Eukaryota; Metazoa; Echinodermata; Echinoidea; Camarodonta; Strongylocentrotidae. The record is from RefSeq and is a predicted model, not a curated record. The transcript has 5 exons.